AUCGAACGCUGGCGGCAUGCUUUACACAUGCAAGUCGAACGGUAACAGGCCGCAAGGUGCUGACGAGUGGCGAACGGGUGAGUAAUGCAUCGGAACGUGCCUAGUCGUGGGGAUAACUACUCGAAAGAGUAGCUAAUACCGCAUACGAUCUAUGGAUGAAAGCGGGGGACCGUAAGGCCUCGCGCGAUUGGAGCGGCCGAUGUCAGAUUAGGUAGUUGGUGGGGUAAAGGCUCACCAAGCCAACGAUCUGUAGCUGGUCUGAGAGGACGACCAGCCACACUGGGACUGAGACACGGCCCAGACUCCUACGGGAGGCAGCAGUGGGGAAUUUUGGACAAUGGGCGCAAGCCUGAUCCAGCAAUGCCGCGUGCAGGAAGAAGGCCUUCGGGUUGUAAACUGCUUUUGUACGGAACGAAACGGCUCUGGUUAAUACCCGGGGCUAAUGACGGUACCGUAAGAAUAAGCACCGGCUAACUACGUG
This 481-nucleotide ribosomal RNA is filed under the name uncultured bacterium. RNAcentral's name for it is "partial 16S ribosomal RNA". It matches the Rfam family "Bacterial small subunit ribosomal RNA", at positions 30 to 507 of the family's 1533-position model. The record is from RNAcentral.